Molecule: transfer RNA, 89 nt
Filed under: Bacteroidia bacterium
Lineage: Bacteria; Pseudomonadati; Bacteroidota; Bacteroidia
Description: tRNA-Ser
Rfam family: tRNA
About the family: Transfer RNA (tRNA) molecules are approximately 80 nucleotides in length. Their secondary structure includes four short double-helical elements and three loops (D, anti-codon, and T loops).
Source: RNAcentral
GGAGAGGUGCUCGAGUGGUUUAAGAGGCACGCUUGGAAAGCGUGUGAACUCCAAAAGGGUUCCGGGGGUUCGAAUCCCUUCUUCUCCGC